GACGAACGCUGGCGGCGUGCUUAACACAUGCAAGUCGAACGAGACGAUUGAAAGCUUGCUUUUGAAAGUCGAGUGGCAAACGGGUGAGUAACGCGUAGACAACCUGCCUUUGAGAUGGGGACAACAGUUCGAAAGGACUGCUAAUACCGAAUGUUGUAUAUUUUCCACAUGGAAGAUAUAUUAAAGAUGGCCUCUAUUUAUGAGCUAUCGCUCAAAGAUGGGCCUGCGUCUGAUUAGCUGGUUGGUGGGGUAACGGCCUACCAAGGCGACGAUCAGUAGCCGGUCUGAGAGGAUGAACGGCCACAUUGGGACUGAGACACGGCCCAGACUCCUACGGGAGGUAGCAGUGGGGAAUCUUCCACAAUGGACGAAAGUCUGAUGGAGCAACGCCGCGUGAGUGAAGAAGGGUUUCGGCUCGUAAAGCUCUGUUGUCGGGGACGAAUGUGCAGUAUUUGAAUAAAGUACUGUAAUGACGGUACCUGACGAGGAAGCCACGGCUAACUACGUGCCAGCCGCCGCGGUAA
This 524-nucleotide ribosomal RNA is filed under the name uncultured bacterium. RNAcentral describes it as "partial 16S ribosomal RNA". It matches the Rfam family "Bacterial small subunit ribosomal RNA", at positions 28 to 523 of the family's 1533-position model. The record is from RNAcentral.